GACGAACGCUGGCGGCGUGCCUAAUACAUGCAAGUUGAGCGAUGAAGAUUGGUGCUUGCACCAAUUUGAAGAGCAGCGAACGGGUGAGUAACGCGUGGGGAAUCUGCCUUUGAGCGGGGGACAACAUUUGGAAACGAAUGCUAAUACCGCAUAACAACUUUAAACAUAAGUUUUAAGUUUGAAAGAUGCAAUUGCAUCACUCAAAGAUGAUCCCGCGUUGUAUUAGCUAGUUGGUGAGGUAAAGGCUCACCAAGGCGAUGAUACAUAGCCGACCUGAGAGGGUGAUCGGCCACAAUGGGACUGAGACACGGCCCAAACUCCUAAGGGAGGCAGCAGUAGGGAAUCUUCGGCAAUGGACGAAAGGCUGACCGAGCAACGCCGCGGGAGUGAAGAAGGGUUUCGGAUCGGAAAACUCUGUUGGUAGAGAAGAACGUUGGUGAGAGUGGAAAGCUCAUCAAGUGACGGUAACUACCCAGAAAGGGACGGCUAACUACGUG
RNAcentral lists this ribosomal RNA (497 nucleotides) under uncultured bacterium. Its description in RNAcentral is "partial 16S ribosomal RNA". It matches the Rfam family "Bacterial small subunit ribosomal RNA", at positions 28 to 507 of the family's 1533-position model. The record is from RNAcentral.